This is a non-coding RNA of Pelobates cultripes (western spadefoot toad), 360 nucleotides long. The record is from the annotation of a GenBank genome assembly. NCBI's taxonomy places the organism in Eukaryota, Metazoa, Chordata, Amphibia, Anura, Pelobatidae.
UUCACUUCUUAAAAUCAGGAGGUGUACAGGUAAAAAUCAUAAAAACAAAUAUGAAAGAAACACUGGUCCUACGCGUUUCGUCCUUGUGCAAAAGGACUUCCUCAGGGACCUCUUUCAAUAAGAUAAAAUCACAGGUACAAAAUCAAAAAGCAUCCUAAAAACGCUACCAAACAAGCAAUCUUAUAUAGGGCUAAUCCCUUCAAGUUGGUGGAAUAGUGGGUGUCUUCUCAUUUUCUCAGUUCUUAUUCGUCCAAAGUUUCUUCUCCCCAGGUGCGAUCACUUUACCGGAACAAAUGCCGGGUUCUUUCAGUAUUCGGCCACUUCCGCGUACGUUAUAUGGUGUGCACGGUGAAUAGCACU